Molecule: long non-coding RNA, 972 nt
Organism: Formica exsecta
Lineage: Eukaryota; Metazoa; Arthropoda; Insecta; Hymenoptera; Formicidae
Exons: 3
Source: RefSeq, a predicted model, not a curated record
GCUGUACCGGGAGCCCGGGAGAAAAACGAUCGUGUUCUUUAGUGACGAUCGCCCUUUGAAUGUUUUCGUAACGCGAAACAAUAUCGCGGUUGACGCCCUUUUCAUCGAACACGAUCGAGUCUCAAGUCUCAAGCGAUUAUAGAGCAAUCUCAUACUUGUAGAUUGAUAACAGUACGAUUGCAAUAACAAUCUUGCAUAAGAAGCGCACGUGAACGAUUUUUCUCAUUUUUUCCCAUCAUUUGCGUUAUCGUUCACUGAUAAUGGGACCUUAAUGUGUCAAAUUUUCUUCAUGGAUUUAUGAUAAAAUAUUUUUUUUUUCUGUCGCUGAGAAUUGCGGGACGAAACUCUAUCAACUUCAUUGAUUCGGCAUUGAAGAUUAUAACGAUAAUAUAUACGUCCGCAUAUAUUACGAAAUAUUAAUAUUAAUCACGUCAUAAAUAAGGUAGACGAGGUUAAAAAAUGUGUCAAAGGGGAAUUCGAUAUGCGAGAAAAAAAAUAUUUGACGUCAUUUAGGGCCUAUCCAGAUAAAGCUUGCGUGACGUAUAUGCAUAGAGAGAUCAAACUUUUCGCGUUGGUUUCAUUUUCAAACGGACCAAUCGCCGUGACUUCACGGUUGAAGGAAGAGCCAAUCGAAACGCCGGACAAAUUAUCCAAGCGGUUUAACAUGCGGCGUAAAAAUGCGACAAUUAAACACUCUUUAAUUUUUUAUUCAUUGGCAAAAAUUCAAGUUUGAAUCGUAUAACGUCAAAGGCACGCAUAAUGGAUCGAGUAAUCUUAUCGGGACGCUACACGAACACUGUAAAUAAGAAAUACCAUUGGAAUGUGCCAGAACGCCAUUGUUACUGAAAGCAUACUCGUAUAUCUUCGGGCAAUGCUGUUUAACGGUCAUUCUGUAAAUUGCCACAGCGUCCGUUUUAAUGUUCCGGUUGUGAUCUGUCCACAAAUGAAUCGUCGUUGCGUUUUUCAUUAUCU